CCGUUCGAAACUACCUGACUUGAGGGCAGUAGAGGGAGGUGGAAUUCCGGGUGUAGCGGUGAAAUGCGUAGAUAUCCGGAGGAACACCAGUGGCGAAGGCGGCCUCCUGGGCUGACCCUGACGCUCAGACGCGAAAGCUAGGGUAGCAAACGGGAUUAGACACCCCGGUAGUCCUAGCUGUAAACGAUGCAGACUUGGUGUUGGCAGUUUAAACACUGACAGUGCCGUAGCUAACGCGAUAAGUCUGCCGCCUGGGGACUACGACCGCAAGGUUAAAACUCAAAGGAAUUGACGGGGGUCCGCACAAGCAGCGGAGCGUGUGGUUUAAUUCGAGGCUACGCGAAGAACCUUACCUGGGUUUGACAUGUACAUAGUAGGAAUCCGAAAGGUGACCGACCCCUCGGGGAGCGUACACAGGUGCUGCAUGGCUGUCGUCAGCUCGUGCCGUGAGGUGUCCGGUUAAGUCCGGUAACGAGCGCAACCCUUACUCUGUGUUAUAUGUGUCACAGAGGACUGCCGGUAUAAAGCCGGAGGAAGGUGGGGAUGACGUCAAGUCAGCAUGGCCUUUAUAUCCAGGGCUACACACACGCUACAAUGGCCGGUACAAUGGGUCGCGAAGCCGCGAGGCGGAGCCAAUCCUCCAAAGCCGGUCUCAGUUCGGAUUGCAGGCUGCAACCCGCCUGCAUGAAGUCGGAGUUGCUAGUAACCGCAGGACAGCUAUACUGCGGUGAAUACGUUCCCGGGCCUUGUACACACCGCCCGUCACGUCAUGGGAGCUGGCAACACCUGAAGUCGAUGACCUAACCGCAAGGAAGGAAUCGCCCAAGGUGGGGCUGGUGACUGGGACGAAGUCGUAACAAGGUAACC
RNAcentral lists this ribosomal RNA (867 nucleotides) under uncultured Chloroflexota bacterium. Its description in RNAcentral is "bacterial SSU rRNA". It matches the Rfam family "Bacterial small subunit ribosomal RNA", at positions 623 to 1501 of the family's 1533-position model. Lineage: Bacteria; Bacillati; Chloroflexota. The record is from RNAcentral.